CACAAAAAUAGCCAAUUUGGGAGCUCCUGCCCAUCCCGUGGGCUCCUAAGUCAGUUCUGAAACAUUGGUAAAGCUCCUCCAGGGAAGGCAGAAUCUGUUGCAGUAUAGAAAAAUCAACAGGAGGUCUUCCACCAUCCAAGUGGAAAUUAUUCAUUAUGCUGUAGACCACAAAAGCC
This is a long non-coding RNA of Elgaria multicarinata webbii, 176 nucleotides long. RefSeq lists it as uncharacterized. Lineage: Eukaryota; Metazoa; Chordata; Lepidosauria; Squamata; Anguidae. The transcript is spliced from 3 exons. The record is from RefSeq and is a predicted model, not a curated record.